CGCAUCUGUGCAUGCAGCAUAUCAAUAAGCGGAGGAAAAGAAACUAUCAAGGAUUCCCUUAGUAACGGCGAGUGAAGCGGGAAGAGCUCAAAUUUGAAAUCUUCAAGGUUUUACCUUGACGAAUUGUAGUUUAAGAAGUGUUUUCUGUUGAAGUUUUGGUAAAAGUUCUUUGGAAUAGGACAUCAUAGAGGGUGAGAAUCCCGUAUUUGACCAUUAUCUUCAGCUGUGUGAUACACUUUCAAAGAGUCGGAUUGUUUGGGAAUGCAGUCCAAAAUGGGUGGUAAAUUUCAUCUAAAGCUAAAUAUUGGCGAGAGACCGAUAGCGAACAAGUACCGUGAGGGAAAGAUGAAAAGAACUUUGAAAAGAGAGUUAAACAGUACGUGAAAUUGUCAAAAGGGAAGCGUUUGACACCAGUGUUGUUUUCUCGAAAAUCAAUUAAAAAGAGUUUAGAUUUUGUUGUGUAUUGACCUUAACAGCUUGCAUUUCAAUUUUCUUGCUUUUUUUAAUGCACUUUUCGUUUAACAAGUCAACAUCAGUUUCUUUUGUUGUAAAAAGGUCAUUGGAAGGUGGCUUUCUUUUCGGAGAAAGUGUUUAUAGCCUUUGACUCCUGCAAUCGGAGAGACUGAGGUCUGCAGCGUAGAUCCUUCGGGGUUAGAUACAUUUGUGCUAAGUUAUAGCUUUUUAUAGACAACUUGUUGACUAUGAUUAGUCUUGUAGCUUACUCGCUUAUGCUAUUUUACCUACGCUUAGGAUGUUGACACACGCGCGUGCUCG
This 774-nucleotide ribosomal RNA is filed under the name uncultured Neocallimastigales. RNAcentral describes it as "partial large subunit ribosomal RNA". It matches the Rfam family "Eukaryotic large subunit ribosomal RNA", at positions 26 to 643 of the family's 3401-position model. Lineage: Eukaryota; Fungi; Neocallimastigomycota; Neocallimastigomycetes; Neocallimastigales. The record is from RNAcentral.